CUGGCUCAGGACGAACGCUGGCGGCGUGCCUAAUACAUGCAAGUCGAGCGAAUGAUUAGAGAAGCUUGCUUCUCUCUGAUUUAGCGGCGGACGGGUGAGUAACACGUGGGUAACCUACCCUAUAGACUGGGAUAACUUCGGGAAACCGGAGCUAAUACCGGAUAAUACUUCGAAACACAUGUUUUGAAGUUGAAAGAUGGUUUCGGCUAUCACUAUAGGAUGGACCCGCGGCGCAUUAGCUAGUUGGUGAGGUAACGGCUCACCAAGGCAACGAUGCGUAGCCGACCUGAGAGGGUGAUCGGCCACACUGGGACUGAGACACGGCCCAGACUCCUACGGGAGGCAGCAGUAGGGAAUCUUCCACAAUGGACGAAAGUCUGAUGGAGCAACGCCGCGUGAAGUGAAGAAGGAUUUCGGUUCGUAAAACUCUGUUGCAAGGGAAGAACAAGUAGCGUAGUAACUGGCGCUACCUUGACGGUACCUUGUUAGAAAGCCACGGCUAACUACGUGCCAGCAGCAGC
This 521-nucleotide ribosomal RNA is filed under the name uncultured bacterium. RNAcentral's name for it is "bacterial SSU rRNA". It matches the Rfam family "Bacterial small subunit ribosomal RNA", at positions 19 to 518 of the family's 1533-position model. The record is from RNAcentral.